CAAAGUUGCUAUGUGAGUUUGAGUUUCUGAGCUUCUGAAGUAAGCCAGGCUACUUCGCUUGGAUGUCCGUGGAUGGAAAUCACUUCACACGACAAGGGAUCUUCCGUUUGUGAACUCUAGUUUACAUCAGCAGGCCUCGGCACCUACGGAUACAAACCAGACAAAUAUGCUUUGCAUCCAGAGAGAGGGGAUGGGUUCAGGGGCUGCUGCUCCUCGUCUUCCUUCAGCUGCUGUCAGCACUUGACCGACCCUACCACCAAGCAUCACAGCACAGUUAUCACACAUGGAGGAAAAGGGCACUUUUUUUGAUCAGAAAACAACUGAGUAUGCAGUCUGAAGUGGAAGGAAAUGUUGGCACCAUUGCAGUAGAAGAAAGUGCUAACUCCACACAAAAGUAACCAACCGAUAUGGUUUUAAAACUUAAGGAAGAUAGUUGAUGACAGAGAAAAACAACAGCAUCCUAUUCUAUAAGGCCUGCUGGGAGAGGAACUUUUAUCUGCCAAUACCCAAUGCAUAUGCAUAAAAAAAAAAUAUUGCGAAAGAAAUGGCUCCUAAA
Molecule: long non-coding RNA, 556 nt
Organism: Perca fluviatilis (European perch)
Lineage: Eukaryota; Metazoa; Chordata; Actinopteri; Perciformes; Percidae
Exons: 4
Source: RefSeq, a predicted model, not a curated record